This 465-nucleotide ribosomal RNA is filed under the name uncultured Klebsiella sp. RNAcentral describes it as "bacterial SSU rRNA". It matches the Rfam family "Bacterial small subunit ribosomal RNA", at positions 338 to 795 of the family's 1533-position model. Lineage: Bacteria; Pseudomonadati; Pseudomonadota; Gammaproteobacteria; Enterobacterales; Enterobacteriaceae. The record is from RNAcentral.
CCUACGGUGGGCUGCAGUGGGGAAUAUUGCACAAUGGGCGCAAGCCUGAUGCAGCCAUGCCGCGUGUGUGAAGAAGGCCUUCGGGUUGUAAAGCACUUUCAGCGGGGAGGAAGGCGGUGAGGUUAAUAACCUCAUCGAUUGACGUUACCCGCAGAAGAAGCACCGGCUAACUCCGUGCCAGCAGCCGCGGUAAUACGGAGGGUGCAAGCGUUAAUCGGAAUUACUGGGCGUAAAGCGCACGCAGGCGGUCUGUCAAGUCGGAUGUGAAAUCCCCGGGCUCAACCUGGGAACUGCAUUCGAAACUGGCAGGCUAGAGUCUUGUAGAGGGGGGUAGAAUGCCAGGUGUAGCGGUGAAAGGCGUAGAGAUCUGGAGGAAUACCGGUGGCGAAGGCGGCCCCCUGGACAAAGACUGACGCUCAGGUGCGAAAGCGUGGGGAGCAAACAGGAUUAGAUACCCGAGUAGUC